RNAcentral lists this ribosomal RNA (745 nucleotides) under uncultured bacterium. RNAcentral's name for it is "bacterial SSU rRNA". It matches the Rfam family "Bacterial small subunit ribosomal RNA", at positions 33 to 773 of the family's 1533-position model. The record is from RNAcentral.
ACGCUGGCGGCAGGCCUAACACAUGCAAGUCGAGCGGUAGAGAGAAGCUUGCUUCUCUUGAGAGCGGCGGACGGGUGAGUAAUGCCUAGGAAUCUGCCUGGUAGUGGGGGAUAACGUUCGGAAACGGACGCUAAUACCGCAUACGUCCUACGGGAGAAAGCAGGGGACCUUCGGGCCUUGCGCUAUCAGAUGAGCCUAGGUCGGAUUAGCUAGUUGGUGGGGUAAUGGCUCACCAAGGCGACGAUCCGUAACUGGUCUGAGAGGAUGAUCAGUCACACUGGAACUGAGACACGGUCCAGACUCCUACGGGAGGCAGCAGUGGGGAAUAUUGGACAAUAGGCGAAAGCCUGAUCCAGCCAUGCCGCGUGUGUGAAGAAGGUCUUCGGAUUGUAAAGCACUUUAAGUUGGGAGGAAGGGCAGUUGCCUAAUACGUAACUGUUUUGACGUUACCGACAGAAUAAGCACCGGCUAACUCUGUGCCAGCAGCCGCGGUAAUACAGAGGGUGCAAGCGUUAAUCGGAAUUACUGGGCGUAAAGCGCGCGUAGGUGGUUUGUUAAGUUGGAUGUGAAAUCCCCGGGCUCAACCUGGGAACUGCAUUCAAAACUGACUGACUAGAGUAUGGUAGAGGGUGGUGGAAUUUCCUGUGUAGCGGUGAAAUGCGUAGAUAUAGGAAGGAACACCAGUGGCGAAGGCGACCACCUGGACUAAUACUGACACUGAGGUGCGAAAGCGUGGGGAGCAAAC